GGGUGACUUCAGGAUUGCUCUGGCUAUAGCAAUCCUCUGCUUCUGCCCUCCAGACAUUUGGACACCACGCUCACCCACCUGUUUUCAUUUCGUAUAUGGUUAGUAUCAAACUAUCAGAGUAUGAACCACAACUUAGUUAAGAACAUCACAUAAUAAGGACGAUUUGGGGGAAAAAAUCAAUAGGUUAGAUGAACUAAUUUCUUGAUGAGCUAACAGUGUUUUAGAAGUCCCCGCAAAAAAAAAACAUUGUUUUAGAAGACGUCUACCAGUCUGUGUGCUGUAGUCUGUUAGUUGUUGACAUAUGGCCAGCGCGUGUCCUCGAUUGACUAUAGACAUCUAGGGUUGUCACUUCUUAGUUUCUCUUUACCAUUUAGCUAAUUAUUGUAAUACGAAGGUAGGGCUCGCAAUUGUACACAUCUAUUCUCUCUGGAAAUGUAAAUAAUAAAGCAAGAAUGGCAUGGACUACAACUUGUGUCUCCCAUUGUGUCCCUUUUUUAUGUUUCACAUCUACUAUCUGUGUGUGUUUCACCAUAGUCUUAACAUGUUAUUAGGACGAAGCUCCACCAGGACGCACGAUGAGGAGGAGAUGACUUGGAAGCCUAGAUCUAUAAAGCCAAAACCCUCUCACUGGGAUGAUCAUCUACACCGCACAAAGGACCUUCUGCACUACGAAGAACCCUGCAUCGAAUUUCACGAGAUUGGAAGGUACAGAUCAUCCAUGCAAAAUUCAGCCCAUAUAAUUUGUUUUUUCUCAAAAAAUUCCAUCUCUAGAUUGGGUCUCGUUAUUGAGCAUUUGAUCCACUGGAUGCAAAAUUUCCCCAUCCACUGUCCGCCAGAUCCAAGGUUGUACAUACCCGCACAUGGACAUUUCCCUAAAAUAAAUAUUUUCGUGUCGAACAACAAUAACAAAGCCUUCAGUCACAAACAAGUUGGGUAGGCUAGAGUUGAAACCCAUAUGAUAUCAAAACCAAGUCAUGCUUUUGGCAUGUAGAAGCUAAACUUCCACGCACCCCUUCCAUGGCUAAAUUCUUUCAUUUCCAAUCCAACUAAAAGAAAUACUUCUGUGUGGAAAUUAUAUAGCAUGAACGUGAGGAAAUAGCUAUAGUAUAGUGGGACAAUGACUUGCAAAGAGGAAAUAGCUAUAGAUUAAUUACCAGUAAUUAGUUACCUGUGUGUCGUACCCUUGCGGCAGCUGGGAGAUGAAGUUGUGUGCAUUGGCGGCCUUGGCGGCGGCGGUGACCUCCUCUGGCGUGGCGUCCUCCUUGCCAAAUAGUAUGUUCUCCAUGAUGGUUGUGGCAAAGAGCGCCGGCUCCUGGCUGACAAGCCCCAUCUGGGCGCGCAGCCACUUGAGCCGCAGCCGCCGGAUGUCGACGCCGUCCAGCGCCACCUCGCCGGCCGACGGGUCGUAGAACCUCUCUAUCAAUGCCAUCACCGUGGACUUGCCGGACCCGCUGCUGCCCACAAGCGCAGCUGUGCGCCCCGCCGGCACGCACAGGUUGAAGCACGCGAAGAUGGUGCUAUCUGGCCGCGACGGGUAGCAGAACUCUACGUUCUUGAACUCCACCUUACCGGCAACGUUAAGGAGUUCCUCCCCUGUGUCACUGCCCGAGUCGAUCUUGGGCACCCGCCGGAUCACCUCCAGCACCCUCUCCCCCGCUGCACUCGCCUCCGACAGGUACUUGAGGUUCGACAGCCCCGACCCCAGCGCCCUGCAUCAAGCUCAAGCAUUAUGGUUGGUCGCUAAUGGCGGAAGCAAAACUCAUGUCAUGCAAGGACUAGAAAACAACUAAUUAGUGUUACAUACAGGCCACCAACGACGGCCGCGGCGGAGACUGCGGAAACAGUGCCACCCUGGUAGCCAUGGUACAUGACGAGGUGGCUGCCAUACCAGACGCUGAAGGCCCAGAUGGUGAAGGUGAUGCCAGUGCUGCCGACGGCGAUGCCCUUGGCGAGCCCUUGUUUGAUCCCGAGCCGCGCCGACUCCUUGAGCGCCGUUGAGAACUGCGCCAUGGUGGCACGCUCUGCUGCGAAGGAGCACACUGUGCGCACAGAGGAGAUGGCCUGCUCAGCGAUGGCGCCCGGGCGCGUGUACUGCUCCCUGAUCUGCCGCGCGAGGCCCAUGAGGAUGCGGCCGUACAUGAACCCCGGGACGACGAGGAGCAGGAUAGAAGGCAGGGUCACCAGGGUGAGCCGCCACACUAGCACAAAGCCGGCGGCGUAGCUGCCGAGGAAGGUGGCGGCGUUCAUCACCAGGUUGGGCACCUUCUCGCUCAGCACGUCCUGCACCACCAGGCUGUCGUUGGAGACACUGGCAAUCACGUCCGCCGUCGACCCCACCUUGAGGUCGAAGUACUCCACGUCCUGCCGGAGCACCGCUGCCAGGUAGCAUGCACGCAUCCGCGACGCCUGCCGCUCCGCCGUCCGUGACCAGCAAUACCCCUCUGCCGUGCACAGACAUCACAUUCACACGUAUAGUAUAGUUACUGAUUUUGCUCCGCCAGUAUCCAAAUAAAAUGAAAUAUUCUCAGUCUCACACUCACACUCUGUCACUCACCUAGGAACGCCAUGACCCAGCUGCCCAGCGCCAAGAAGACAAGGUUCCUCGCGUUCUGUUAGUUGCUCGUCAAAGCUGCUACGGUUUAACAAUAGGCACAGGUGUGUAGAAUUUGUUGAUGCGUACCUCGUCCAUCUUGGAGCUCAACUCCUGGAGGUGUUCUGGGCCGCUGUUGCCGAGGUCGUUGAUGAUGAAGCCGGUGAUGAGCAGCUUCACCGGUGUCGAGAAGCCAUCGCCGAUGGCGCCCACCAGGCCCACCGCCAUCAGCGCCAUGUCCAUGGCAUCCGCGUGCAUGAACACUGACAUGACCGCCGCCUUCUUGGCGUCUGCUGCACCACCCAUGCUGCGUGAACGUGCCAGCCCGUAGCUCGCUACCUAGUCUGGCUUGCUUUCUUGCUGUUGAUCGAGCCGUAGCAGAGUUAAUUUACUCGAUAGUUAGUACAUCAGGAGCCGUCCAAAUUAUAAAUUCGAAGCUUUGGUGAAUGAUUGCAAGAGCACAUUAGUUAGUAGUUAGUACAAAGUAAGCAGUCCACCUAACGACUUGCCGUCCGCAUAUAUAUAAUCUUGAAGACUUGCCGUCUGCAUAUAUAAAUACUACGACCAUCAUUAUUAUUCUAAUAUCCGUAGUAAAUUUGAACUAUUAGUGGUGUUUCUAUACUAUGAUGGAGGAGUUGUGAUCGCUGUGGGGGCACUAGGUGACUCAAUUUUACUGUUUUUAAUGUCAUUCAUUUUGUCAUUAUACCGAUAGUAACUGCAGGGCUAGUGGUUCAGCUUGGAUGCCAUCUCCUAAGAAACAAGAAAGAAACCCUGAUGCUUUCCUUGGCUCCAUCCGCUUUCCAUCCAUGCUAUCCUGGAUGCUCCAACCAGAUGAUGAUGCCUCAAAUGCCACACGAGGUAGUGCCUGUCCAAGGUUUUGUGAUUUGGACUCUCAAUAAAGAUUCGCGGGCAGCGAGGCAAAAGCACAUGCAGCCAUGGAUUGGUGUAACAGCGAGAGGAUCCAACGAAGAAGGUUGGCCGUCAUCCGCCAAUAUUUGAGUAUGUUGUGCAGAUGCGGUCGCCAGAAUGCACGGCUACCGUGCCUCCGGCCUCAUGUGCUCCGUGGCUGCGACGUCCUUGUAUGCCCACUAAUUAUGGAAACAUGCUUGGACACAAAAACGUUGAUCACGAGACACUAUGCUUGGGCCUCUCGUUGAUCAAAGCUUCAAUUGAUGUCUCUAUUAUUUAUGCAACAUAGAACCAUCAAUGUAAUUUCUAGAUGUCAAUGAUUUUGCAACCGCGGAUGCAUUUUUUGUUCUGGCGAAGUUAGCUUUUGCGUUGUUUGGAUGUCACCAAGGCACCAUACUAUUAAUAGGAAUUCAUUCUCUCAUGGGGAUUCAUUUGCAUUAUACUGUUUUAUUGGUUUGUUUGCAUUAUAUUCUUAUUUGUAU
This 3981-nucleotide long non-coding RNA is filed under the name Triticum aestivum (bread wheat). RNAcentral describes it as "long non-coding RNA (TAES_LNC017406)". Lineage: Eukaryota; Viridiplantae; Streptophyta; Magnoliopsida; Poales; Poaceae. The record is from RNAcentral.